Molecule: ribosomal RNA, 406 nt
Filed under: uncultured bacterium
Lineage: Bacteria
Description: partial 16S ribosomal RNA
Rfam family: Bacterial small subunit ribosomal RNA
Source: RNAcentral
AUUGAACGCUGGCGGCAGGCCUAACACAUGCAAGUCGAACGAGGAGCGGACGGGUGGGUCAUGUAGGAGAAACUGAUCGCUAGCGGGGGAUAAAUACUGGAAACGGUAGCUAAUACCGCAUACCAUCGGAUGUGCCCAGAUGGGAUUAGCUAGGAGGUGGGGUAAAGGCUAACAUCGGCGACGAUCCCUAGCUGGUCUGAGAGGAUGAACAGCCACACGGGAACUGAGACACGGUCCAUACUCCUACGGGAGGCAGCAGUGGGGAAUAUUGCACAAUGGGCGCAAGCCUGAUGCAGCCAUGCCGCGUGUAUGAAGAAGGCCGUCGGGUUGUAAAGUACUUUCAGCGGGGAGGCGUUACCCGCAGAAGAAGCACCGGCUAACUCCGUGCCAGCAGCCGCGGUAAUAC